Molecule: long non-coding RNA, 1652 nt
Organism: Oncorhynchus keta (chum salmon)
Lineage: Eukaryota; Metazoa; Chordata; Actinopteri; Salmoniformes; Salmonidae
Exons: 2
Source: RefSeq, a predicted model, not a curated record
GAAAGGUUACUCCCGUAUAGUCGUACUCGGUAACGGAGGGAACUCAGUUUUGUUCCCCCCAGGACACAGAAAGACGGUAUACCAGCUAGUGUUUCCUUUUCGUUUGUUAUUUAAAUAAACACCCUUGAAACUGAGCUAAUCCAACUCUGUCUUUAUCUGAUCUAUGUAAAUGUCUUGACCAAACCCCCUGGUCUGCCAUAAGUGGUGUAGAAUGAGGGCAUUCUGAUUACCUGGUCAGAUCAGGGUUGACGUUCACAUAGCAUCAGCAUGAACGAGUUGAUAGCUCAGUUCGUCCGGGUCCAACAAGCACAACAGAUGGUUCAGGAACGAACUCUGGAGGAACAGCGGCUACAAAAUUCCCACCUCGUUGAGUAAGCUACAAGGAGGAGUGCCUCCUGAAUUGCAUCCAAACCAGUUUUUAAUUAAGCUAACGAAGAUGAAGGCAUCACCCGCUGGUCCCCCUACCAAUGACCGGGGUACCCUUUGAACCCAUCACCAAGGACAUAGUGGGACCCCUGGUAAAAAAAGAAGACGCAUGAGGACACCGAUCAAAGAGAUCCAGACUUCCAUCUUUCAACUGUAGAUGGAUCGGCUCGUCGAGUGGUUCAAUAAAACGCACAAAUGCUGUGGAAGGUCAUCGAGCAGGACGGGAAGAACUGGGACCAGCUACUACCCCACCUAAUGUUCUCGAUCCACAACGCGCCCAAUCCCAGGUCUACAAUCUGGGAACCCAGCCCCGAGAAUUCCCGGUGGCAGACAAGGUGUUGGUCUUAAUCCCCACGGCUGAAAGUAAGCUCCUUGCAACAUGGCAUUGUGCAUGGUACAGCCCCAUUGUAUUGGUGCCCAAACCAGGCGGUAGCCUGCGCUUCUGUAUUGAUUUCCGGGGUGUGAAUGACAUCAGCUUGUGAGACACCUCCCUCAUGCCGAGGGUGGAGAAGCUUAUCGACCGAUUGGGAAAUGCCCGGCACAUCAGCACCCUCGACCUGACCAAAAGAUAUUGGCAGGUACAGUUGGCAGCGGUGUGGGUGAACGGAUAAUCUCUGCAUGUGUAUUUCCCACCGUAAAGAAUGGAGGGGGAGGUGUUAUGGUGUGGGGGUGAUUUGCUGGUGACACAAGCAUGGCUACCACAGCAUUCUGCUACGAUACGCCAUCCCAUCUGGUUUGGGCUUAGUGGGAAUAUCAUUUGUUUUACAACAAAUUUGAUUGAUUGAUUUUUACAUGCUUCUAUAGUUUAAACAAGGCAAGUCAACUAGAAUUGGAAUGGAAAUACUGUAUAGUCAAUGGAUUACACGGUUCUGGGUGAAGGUGUUUUGCACCAAAAGGUUUUCUCAAAGCCCUCUCAUAACAAUCACACUGGUCGCACGUACGACAGGAAGAGCUCAAGUGAACAUAACUGAGUGUUUGUGUAAAGCUUAGUGGGAUUACGGUUUUAUUCUGUAGACUGUUGACUUUCCUGAUUGUGUAUUGCCCCUGUACUUUUGAACUCAUAAUGUAGAAAUACAAUGUGGAUUUUCUGGUCAUGGUUGUAAAAUAGGAUUUUCACAGGCAUCUGUAUAUUUAUCCUUCUUUUUAAUUUUUUUAAAUUUCUUAUUCCAACUGGGUUUGAACCUGGUUUUGAACGAAUGAAUACACAUUUGGUUUUUAUAUAUUUA